AUCCUUUUGUAAUUCAUAGGCUUGAUAAUUGGGUUUUCAUACUCAUGUGUGAGAUGAGCCUCCCUCAAACCUUAUUAGUAUACAUCCACGUUACCUGUCUGACA
This is a small nucleolar RNA of Lemur catta (Ring-tailed lemur), 104 nucleotides long. RefSeq annotates it as small nucleolar RNA U13. The transcript has a single exon. The record is from RefSeq and is a predicted model, not a curated record. NCBI's taxonomy places the organism in Eukaryota, Metazoa, Chordata, Mammalia, Primates, Lemuridae.